GCGCGCGCGGGGCCUCGCGCGGCGGCGGCGGCGCCUGAGGGCAGCGCCCGGGCCGCCCCCGCGGGUGUGCCCCGGGGCGAGCCCGCCCGCCGAGCUCUGCCCUGCUCUGCCCGCCCGGCCCGGCCCGAGCGCCCUUCCAGCCCGCCUCGGGCCCGCCCGCGCCUGCCCUGUCCAUCCGAGGCGGGUCGCGAGGAUGCGCCAGGGCCCGGAGCAUCUCCCUGCCCGGGAAGGGCUGAGGGAGCUGGGGCUGCUCAGGCUGGAGAGGAGCCCGGCUGAGAGGGCCCUCAGCCCUGGCUGUGCCUGUGUGCAGGGGCCAGAGCAGGCCCGGCUCUGCCCCAGGCCCAGCCAUGCCCCAGAGCCCCGGGCACGGCCUGAGCCCCGCAAUUCCCCUCACAGGAGGCAGAGCUGCUGCCCUGGGCAGUGCCAGCCCUGAGCAGAGCCCAGCCAGGCUCUGGGGUGUCAUUCCAGAGCAGCCUGGACUCGGUCCUGUGCCGUGUGCCCGGGUGGCCCUGCUGGGGCAGGGGGUGGCCCAGCUGAGCCAUCGGGUCCCUCCCUGCCCCGCUGGCUCCGGGGUUGUGCCCGUGGCAGCCUGGCCGGGCCCAGGGCCAGGGAGGGCAGGAGGCGUCGUGCGAGGCCAUGGCCGCGUGGCAGCCGCGCUGGGACAGCCUUUGCCAUGGGCUGGGACAGUGGCACUGCUCAGGGAGUUCUGUGAGGCCACACAGCAGCUGUGUGAUUUACAACUGCCACGUUCUGAAAUCCAAAUCCAACACAGAACCACAGAAUGUGCUGAGCUGGAAGGCGCCCACCAGGAACAUCGAGCCCAACUGCUGGCCCUGUACAGGAAUCCAUCCCUCCUGUGCCUGCACAUUUUGGGUGAACACCCUGAGGACAAGCCAGCUCCCAAAGGCAGGGCUGUGAUCUUCCUGUGAGCCCUGUGCGCGGGUGCUCACACACACCCCUGCAGAGCCACUGCACAUCCCAUUUUGCAGCAGGACCAUUGGAUCAGGACAAGACCCCACAUGCCAUUCUUCCUGGUGGAUCAUGACACUGCUCAAGAUCUCUUCAACAAGCAAGGAUGAGUUCUAAAAAGCCGUCUAGGAGUGAAAGGGAUGGAUGGCUUUUGUUACUGCAGAAAGACACGAGCACUUGGAGGAGGAAGUAAAGUGUAAUUCCCUCCAUCCUCAGUGUUCACACCCUUUCUGGUUCAGUGACACACUGGAGUUCACCUCACAAUGCUAGAAAGGAAACUGGAUUCCUUGCCUCAAGUAUAGAAGCAGAGAAAAGUUGUCACCAAUUCUUUAGAUUUCUGUAACCUAAGGAUCUCCUGCAUUUUGAGGUGACUGGUGUCCUGACAAUCUGUACAUGCUGUUUAUCACAAUUCACUGAAGUCGUGUUCAUGAAGAAUUUAGUGACAUUUUCUUGUGUCUCUGAGGCUGCCUUGGGACUUUCUGGCUCAGUGGGACAUAGAAAUCCCCUGCUUGUCACUGCAAGUCACACCUGGGUUUCACUGGGUGCUCCCAGGGCACCUUCACAUCAGUGGUCAUAAGAGUCAGGAAGCCACAAAAUCUUUUUACAUGGAAAAGUAAAUUUAAAAACCAGGAAAUACACAAAACUUCAAACCCAAAGCUGGUGCUUUGGUGUUAAAGAGCCCCUAGAACUGAGGUACUGUGAGAGUUCCCUGAGACACGUGUGGAAUCUGUCUCAAGGAAGGAAAGCAAAGAGAGCUGCUUUGGUUUUCCUAUAACAACAUAAUUUUGCCUUCCAAGAGUAGAUGUUUUUUUCUCUGAUGGCACAAUUAUUGAAGCAUGUUGGGAAACAUUUCAAAGCGUUGCUAAGCCAGGACCAUAUUCACAAACUCUCAAUUAACUUGAGCCAGUCUGCUCCUGCCUAAAAUACACAGCCCCAAACCUGAGCACCUUCCUAUUUCAACACUGUUUCAUUUGUGCCUUGCCACUGACCACUUUUUAGCCAUCACUUAAUCCAAAAUACAGCAACCCACAAUACAACCAGCCACAGACCUGCUCUAGGGGCUGGAUUUGGGCGAGCAGAAGUGCCUGAAGGUUGGAGGAGCUGGGUGUAGUGGGACAUGAUAAUGCAGCUGGAGAGAGCAAUGAUAUCUGAGAGCUGUUUAAGGGAGUGAACACAACACAAGGAUCUGUGCAAGGGACACAACAGCUCAAACACAGAGACUUGGAAUCCAGACAGAGAACUGAACAGGCUGCUGGGCAUCAUUCCCUGUCCUGAAUGCUGGGAGCAAGUGAAGUGUCAAUGAGAAAUCAUCUGGCAAGAGGAACAAGUGAAUCCCCAGCCCCCUGCUCGUGUGCCAGAGGGUCUCUCACAAUUCCAGCAGGUCAGGCCAAGACAGGGAAGAGCCAAGGACAAGAUGGGAAGAAGAUGCCCAGAAAGGCAGGCAGAGAGACUCAGCAAUGACUCUGCUGCCUUAGCAGAGUCACCUUGAUGAUCCCAGUGACAGUCCUGGCAACCCCACACAGCUGAUCUGCAGGAAAUGGGCAAAGUCACGGAGUAUGUGGCAGGGCAGGAUGGCACAAGUGGCACUUCCUGACCAGGAUGAAGAAUAGUUAAUAUCUCAUCUGAUGAGGGGACUCCAGUGUUACCCUUCAGCACAGAAAUUGAGCACUGAGCUGUUUCUGGGCUUCUGCCUUCCUUGCACAAGAGGUUCCCUCACUGGUCUCACAGGCUCUGUUCCCCGUGCUGGAGGACACUGCACACCUGGUGAAGCACAGCAGAACAGCAGAGGUGUGAGUGCAACUCUUCAGGUACAGCUUGUCUGAGUUCUCAUCAGCCAUUUAUUCCUUUUCAACUGGCACAGCUCAGUCUCAAUUCUCAACUUUGCUGAAGAAAUAUUUUUCCCUGGGAUGCUGUUCCACAAGCAAAAAAGGUGGGAGAAAAGAGCUGCUGUGUUGGGAGGAAAUGCUCUACCCUGUGUUGAUGGAGAAAUGCCACACAUGAAGUUUAGAGAGAGAAGUACAAGUACCACAAUUCUCUGACAAUUCAUAGCCCUGGAAACAAGGAUGAAGAACUGGCUCUGAGAUUCUCCUGCAGAGAGAUUCCCAGUGAAGCAUCUUUAAAGAUGCAGCAAGAGCAAUUCAGUGAAAUAAAAAAGGCAGCAGACUGCUGGAGAUAGAGAAUCUAACAAUUGCAUGGAGUUUUUUCAUUGACUGUAGACAGCACAUUCAAGGAGGUUAGAAGCAGAAAGUGUGAGAGCUGAAAAGUUGGAAAAUAACAAGGCAAUAGUUGACAGAGAACAAAUCUGAAAUAGAAUCAGGCUGCUGGAAAAAUGAAAUCAUUUGUAAAGACUUGAGUAGAGGUGUCUGUACAAUAGGAAGUAGGGAAGAAAAGGCCCAGAGCAGCUUUGUGGUGUAUUCUGACUUCUUUCCCUCCUUUGAAGAACCUUGUAAAAUUGUGUGCUGCUGAAGGAAUGGCAACAGGAAGAGGGGAAUAAAUAACUGCACUUCAGGUCUGGCAUUCACCUGACACAGCUGGAAAAACAGAACUCUACACAUGUAAUUUCUUGGUAUGAAUUUAAAAUCUUGGCUGCGUUUUGGAGUGACCCAGAAUCAGCAGUGUGUGUCCCUGGGGGAAGCAGAGUGCAGGCAGCCCAGCCUGGCCCGUACCUCUCCAAGGGUGAAUCCCAGCUGCCGAGCCCGCACGAUCAUCUCCAUCUGGAACACGUAUCCCUUGGAAACACACUUCUCCAUCAGCUGCUGCAAGACUUCUUUCCUGUACAACCUGUAAACAGUUCCACAGGAAAUAAAGCCUGAAGCCCAGUUUCUGGAAUUGAGAAAUCAGACAGUGUAGGAAUCUGAACUGCAAUCACUCGGCUCAUUACUAUUUAUAAACCCCUAACGAGGUCGUGGGAGCAGCAGUUCUUGCAAUCUAAUCCACUGCUUCUUCCACCCUUUCCAAACAGAUUUCCCAGUCCACAGUAAAGAACAUCUGUUCUUACUGCAGUUCCUUGUCCAGCAGUUUCUUAAUUUCCAAUAAACUUUAGGAAUUGCAAACCAGACCUUACCUGAAACUCCCUGUUAGAUCUGAUGCCCCUGGUCUCAGCAAGACCUGAGUCAGAAAAUUGGCUCCACGACUGUGAAAGAAAACAUCUAUGUCAGAGUUGUUUAGCACAAACGAUGGGCACUUACUCCAGCCAUGGAAAACCAGGAACAAUCCAACUCCAGCUCCAGAUCCGACUGCAACAGAGCUUGUGCUCCAGAUUCUUUGCAGGAUAAAUAAAUCAACAUGAACAUCUGCCUGUUCUCUGGGAGGGACAGGAGCAUUCCAGGUGUCCUCACACCUGCAGUCUCAGCUUGUUCCCUGCAUGGUGGACCUGGAUGUCUGUCCCAGCCUGAGGCCACUUCCAGCCCAUUUUCCCAGCCCACCCAGAUCAUUCCAGUCCUUCUUGGUGGAUUUGAACCAAAGGCCUGGCCAGUGCUGGGUGCUUCUGCCACUCAGUGGGACUCUGCAGUGUCACAGGCACAGCAGUUCUGGGGCUAAGAGUUCAGCUGCAGGGAUGGAGUACUUGGAAUUAUUAUGUACAAGUAACAGAUUUCUGUGUGAAGAGCUGAAAAGUACUAACCUGAUCAGCUUUCUUUUCAAAUCCCAGCCAUACACUCCUCCGUUUCCUUUAUAUCUUGUUCCAGAUACAAUAUCAAAAUUGCCUUCUUUCUGCUUUCUGUAGACAAUUGGUUUUAUCAGAAAAACUGGAGGAAUGUUUCAAACUCCAAAUUUCAAAGUAAGAACAAUCACUCUUUCAGUACCAAAUCUGUAUUUUACAAACUUGUGAACAAAUAAGAAGAGAGGAAAGCAAUAGUUAGGGUGGCUAUGAGCAUUAUUCAAACAUCUGAUAAUUGUUCUCUUAUAAAGAGCUACUUCAGGGAAUCUGAUCAUUAUCUUUUACCCACUAUGGCAUAGAAUUCCAUAGGCUGCCUCAUAAAUAAUUUAUAAAGAUCAACUUUCAUACUAUAAUCAGCACCUACCUGAUAAACUCUGGAAUAAAUUUUGGCUGAAAUGAAAGAAAGACAGAUCAGAAAACAGGGCAGGGGUAAAAUAACAGCAACCAGUGAGAAGUGAAUUUUAGAGCAGGCUGUAGCCAGAGCAGAUGAAACGCAGCCUUACGUGGUGGGAGAGGUCAGCAUCCAUAAUAACGAUGAAAUCCCCCGUGGCAUACUUCAUUCCAUGGAUGUAAGCAGUGCCUGGUGGCAACAGAAAUAACUGAUCUCACUCUUUCAGCACAGAAACGCACAGAGAAACUUCACUUGAGGACGGGCCACACCUUGAAAUGUCAUUUACACAGCUCCACCUGCACUCAGGAGCCACAUCUGGGCUGGGAAACGGUUCAGAAACACACUGGGAUUUUCAUGUGCAUUUCUAAAGCUUGUUUGUUUGCAAACAACCUGAUGAAAAUGUGUUUCUGCUUUUGGGCUUUACUGUGAUUUUCUCUGGACCUUUAUAUGCUGGGUCAAUCAAAGUAUACAGCAGAUUCUUUUAUUUGCUCUUACUAAUCAGAGUUAAUAAGGACUUACCCAGGCCCAGCUUCCUUGCUCUGGGUCUCAGAAGCUACAGGAGAUAUAAAAAACACAUAAAUUACUUGACAUACCAUUUUAAAAAAUACUCUAAAACUUCCUAUAUAUUUUUUCUUUAAAACAAUCUUCAUAUAUGCAACUUAGUCCAGAAAUACAUUAAAAAACUUGGCAUUUAUGCAGUAACAGAUUGGAAAAGUAUCUGACUGCCACCAAGUAAAUGACAGCAUCUUGUAUAAACCGAGGAUUAUGCAGUAAUAAAUUACAUAGAUAAAAAAAUAAAUAAAAAACUUCUGUUCUUGAGGAAUGCAACGAGACAGAUUAAAAAUAAAUCAUAAGCUCAGCCCAGCUUUCAUCUUUCCAAUUUCCUUACUCCUGCAGUCAAUUAAAAUGGAAUUAGUUCUUAUCCAAACCCCAUCUUUCCCUCAGACCUGCACCAAGUGCAGCAAGACUCAGCAGUCAUUGCUCAGGAGCACACAGCAACGCACCAAGGACUGAGAACGCUUUAAAACAACCCAUGAUCUUGCAUUUUGGUCAGAAUGCAGCAUUAUGGACUGUCCUGAGCUUACACUCGGCUAAAGUGGUGUACAAUGUACAACAACUUGUUUAAGGAUGUGAAGAAAGGGCAGAAUCCAGGGAAUCCAUCCCAGCUCUCAAGGACUUACAGUACUUUCCAAUAAAAAAAAAAAAUAAAAAAAA
This is a long non-coding RNA of Passer domesticus (house sparrow), 6233 nucleotides long. RefSeq lists it as uncharacterized. Lineage: Eukaryota; Metazoa; Chordata; Aves; Passeriformes; Passeridae. The transcript has 2 exons. The record is from RefSeq and is a predicted model, not a curated record.